UGUGGUUUGCCUUAAGUUGUGUAGCUGCCU
This 30-nucleotide non-coding RNA is filed under the name Rattus norvegicus (Norway rat). The record is from RNAcentral. Lineage: Eukaryota; Metazoa; Chordata; Mammalia; Rodentia; Muridae.